Gossypium hirsutum (cotton) is the source of this 107-nucleotide non-coding RNA. Lineage: Eukaryota; Viridiplantae; Streptophyta; Magnoliopsida; Malvales; Malvaceae. The record is from Rfam.
AAUCCAUGCAUCAGACGUUUCUGAAGUAACUCCUUAAAUCAUUCCCAAGCAUCAUAUAGUGUUUCAUCCUUUAUUUGAAAAAAAGAUUUGAUAUUUUUUCUAAGCUU